CGCUGGCGGCGUGCUUAACACAUGCAAGUCGAACGGGAUCCAUCAGGCUUUGCUUGGUGGUGAGAGUGGCGAACGGGUGAGUAAUGCGUGACCGACCUGCCCCAUACACCGGAAUAGCUCCUGGAAACGGGUGGUAAUGCCGGAUGCUCCGACUCCUCGCAUGGGGUGUCGGGAAAGAUUUCAUCGGUAUGGGAUGGGGUCGCGUCCUAUCAGGUAGUCGGCGGGGUAACGGCCCACCGAGCCUACGACGGGUAGCCGGCCUGAGAGGGCGACCGGCCACAUUGGGACUGAGAUACGGCCCAGACUCCUACGGGAGGCAGCAGUGGGGAAUAUUGCACAAUGGGCGCAAGCCUGAUGCAGCGACGCCGCGUGCGGGAUGACGGCCUUCGGGUUGUAAACCGCUUUUGAUCGGGAGCAAGCCUUCGGGUGAGUGUACCUUUCGAAUAAGCACCGGCUAACUACGUGCCAGCAGCCGCGGUAAUACGUAGGGUGC
RNAcentral lists this ribosomal RNA (493 nucleotides) under uncultured bacterium. Its description in RNAcentral is "bacterial SSU rRNA". It matches the Rfam family "Bacterial small subunit ribosomal RNA", at positions 34 to 535 of the family's 1533-position model. The record is from RNAcentral.